UGCAUCGGGGUAAGACCGAUGCUUUUCUUGACUCUUCAAAGGUCUUGGAAUAAGGGGUGGGUAAGGACGGUGCCAGCCGCCGCGGUAAUACCGGCGCCUCAAGUGGUAGUCGCUUUUAUUGGGCCUAAAACGUCCGUAGCCGGUUUGAUACAUUCGUGGGUAAAUCAAGGAGCUCAACGUCUUGAAUUCUGCGAGCACGGCCAGACUUGGGACCGGGAGAGGUGUGGGGUACUCUCAGGGUAGGGGUAAAAUCCUGUCAUCCUGAGAGGACCACCUGUUGCGAAGGCGCCACACUAAAACGGAUCCGACGGUCAGGGACGAAGCCUAGGGGCACGAACCGGAUUAAAUACCCGGGUAGUCCUAGGUGUAAACGCUGUGGACUUGAUGUUGGGAGUGCUCCGAGCACCCUCAGUGUCGAAGCGAAGGUGAUAAGUCCACUGCCUGGGAAGUACGGUCGCAAGGCUGAAACUUAAAGGAA
This 478-nucleotide ribosomal RNA is filed under the name uncultured archaeon. RNAcentral's name for it is "bacterial SSU rRNA". It matches the Rfam family "Archaeal small subunit ribosomal RNA", at positions 385 to 864 of the family's 1478-position model. The record is from RNAcentral.